AAAAGAAACCAACAGGGAUUGCCUCAGUAACGGCGAGUGAAGCGGCAACAGCUCAAAUUUGAAAUCUGGCUCCCUCUGGGGGUCCGAGUUGUAAUUUGAAGAGGGUGCUUUGGCGUCGACGGCGGUCUAAGUCCCUUGGAACAGGGCAUCACAGAGGGUGAGAAUCCCGUAUGUGGCCGCAAGCCUUCGCCGUGUAAAGCCCCUUCGACGAGUCGAGUUGUUUGGGAAUGCAGCUCUAAAUGGGAGGUAAAUAUCUUCUAAAGCUAAAUACCGGCCAGAGACCGAUAGCGCACAAGUAGAGUGAUCGAAAGAUGAAAAGCACUUUGGAAAGAGAGUCAAACAGCACGUGAAAUUGUUGAAAGGGAAGCGCUUGCAGCCAGACUUGCUCGCAGUUGCUCAUCCGGGCUCUCGCCCGGUGCACUCUUCUGCGGGCAGGCCAGCAUCAGUUUGGGCAGCCGGAUAAAGACCUCUGUCACGUAUCUUCCUUCGGGAAGACCUUAUAGGGGAGGUGUAAUGCGGCUAGCCCGGACUGAGGUCCGCGCAUCUGCUAGGAUGCUGGCGUAAUGGCUGUAAGCGGCCCG
Molecule: ribosomal RNA, 581 nt
Filed under: Keissleriella sp.
Lineage: Eukaryota; Fungi; Ascomycota; Dothideomycetes; Pleosporales; Lentitheciaceae
Description: partial large subunit ribosomal RNA
Rfam family: Eukaryotic large subunit ribosomal RNA
Source: RNAcentral